RNAcentral lists this ribosomal RNA (750 nucleotides) under uncultured Lentisphaerota bacterium. RNAcentral describes it as "bacterial SSU rRNA". It matches the Rfam family "Bacterial small subunit ribosomal RNA", at positions 41 to 812 of the family's 1533-position model. The record is from RNAcentral. Lineage: Bacteria; Pseudomonadati; Lentisphaerota.
GGCAUGGAUUAGGCAUGCAAGUUCGAACGUACUCCCUUCGGGGAGGAAGUGGCGAAAGGGUGAGUAACACGUGAGCAACCUACCUCCGGAUCCGGAAUAAUCCAGGGAAACUUGGUCUAAAACCGGAUGAAGACUCCGGGCCGCAUGGCCUGGCGUUAAAAUAUUUAUAGUCCGGAGAGGGGCUCGCGGCCCAUUAGCUUGUUGGCGGGGUAAUGGCCCACCAAGGCUAUGACGGGUAGGUGGUCUGAGAGGAUGGUCACCCACACUGGGACUGAGACACUGCCCAGACUCCUACGGGAGGCUGCAGUCGAGAAUCUUCCGCAAUGGGCGCAAGCCUGACGGAGCGAUGCCGCGUGAGGGAUGAAGGCCUUCGGGUUGUAAACCUCUGUCAUCCGGGACGAAAACAAUGACGGUACCGGAAAAGGAAGCCACGGCUAACCACGUGCCAGCAGCCGCGGUAACACGUGGGUGGCGAGCGUUAUUCGGAUUUACUGGGCGUAAAGGGUCCGCAGGGGGCCUGCCACGCCUGCCGUGAAAUUCCAAGGCUCAACCUUGGACCUGCGGCGGGUACGGGCGGGCUGGAGUGCAAGAAGGGCAGACGGAAUUCCAGGUGUAGCGGUGGAAUGCGUAGAUAUCUGGAAGAACACCGAUGGCGAAGGCGGUCUGCUGGCUUGUAACUGACCCUCAGGGACGAGAGCGUGGGUAGCAAACAGGAUUAGAUACCCUGGUAGUCCACGCCGUAAACGUUGU